Molecule: long non-coding RNA, 3174 nt
Organism: Zootoca vivipara (common lizard)
Lineage: Eukaryota; Metazoa; Chordata; Lepidosauria; Squamata; Lacertidae
Source: RefSeq, a predicted model, not a curated record
AAAUUUAUUGUCUGCUCAAAGCUUUGUUUUCAUUGUUAGUUGGUAUGUUACUGUCCCUUUAAGUAAAAGCCCAGUAGAACCCUGGGGGAGAGGAAGGAAGUGCAGACCUCCGGGAAUGCUGAGUCAUGUUUUAGGCCUAUCUCAAGCUGCAGGAAUAAUUCUGCAUGAAAAUAAAGUUAAGUUUUUCUUCCUUGGUUGGGGUGUAAAAAAAUAAAGCAAUGAAGAGAACUGUAGAGUUUCAGCAAGGUAACUGAAUUGAUCAGCAGCACAGUCUGAAAGAGAAACUGCAUUUUGGGUAGUACAUUCAUUUUCACUACUGAGAUUCUACUCAUCAGACCACAUGGAUGCUACCAUGUGGAGGAAGCAAAUUGGCAGGUGGAAGGUGAUUAUCUGGCAUCAGGAUGCUGUGAAGCAAUGAGAAGGCAAGUUUGCUUGCAGAAGCCAGUGGAUUUGCUGAGUGGGUGGCAAGUUUAUGGUCUGAAGCUGGCUGAUAUCCUUGGCAGAAGCUGACUGAUGUCCAAUGGCGGACCAAGCAGAUACGGUCGAGUAGCCGGAAGGUGACUGAUGUUUGGUAGUGGACCAAGCAGAAGCUGGCAGAUGUAGAUGGAUGGAUGCUGGUGGAAUUCACAUUCAGAAGCUGAUGGACCAGAUGGCUUUGGUAGCACUUUUUGUAAAGCUUUGCAGUAUCACCAUAUUUAACUUUGCUGUUUAAUAUCAUUUGGAGGGGUGGAGCCCUCCCAAACAUUUGUUCCCCAUUACCUAAACCAGGUAGAGAUCCUAAGGAAGUAGAAUCAUACAGAUGGAUCACCCUGUUCAACCAGGCCCCAACUUUUUUUUUACAUCAGUCAUGGCUUCCAGCAGGGUGAUCCAUACAAUUGUCAAUUCAGACCAAACCAGAUUUAUCCCAGGCAGACACAAUGCAGAUCACACAUGCAGGUUAGUCAAUAUAAUAUAUGACAGUAAUUAAGAGGAAGAAUCCCAGCCCUUUGGCAUUGGUGUCACUGGACAUUUACGAGGCCUUUGACUUUUUAGAAUGGAGGUACCUUUUUAAAGUUUUAGAACACUAUCAGAUGGACAAAACAUUCAUGACUACUAUCAGAGUCCUCUGUGCCUCUCACCAGGCCACUGUUAGCACAAUUGCUGUGAAUUUGAACUCUGUUCAUAUUGGCAAGUGAGCAAAACACUGGACAUUUACAAGGCCUUUGACUUUUUAGUAUGGAGGUACCUUUUUAAAGUUUUAGAACACUAUCAGAUGGAUAAAACAUUCAUGACUACUAUCAGAGUCCUCUGUGCCUCUCACCAGGCCACUGUUAGCACAAUUGCUGUGAAUUUGAACUCUGUUCAUAUUGGCAAGUGAGCAAAACACUGGACAUUUACAAGGCCUUUGACUUUUUAGUAUGGAGGUACCUUUUUAAAGUUUUAGAACACUAUCAGAUGGAUAAAACAUUCAUGACUACUAUCAGAGUCCUCUGUGCCUCUCACCAGGCCACUGUUAGCACAAUUGCUGUGAAUUUGAACUCUGUUCAUAUUGGCAAGUGAGCAAAACACUGGACAUUUACAAGGCCUUUGACUUUUUAGUAUGGAGGUACCUUUUUAAAGUUUUAGAACACUAUCAGAUGGACAAAACAUUCAUGACUACUAUCAGAGUCCUCUGUGCCUCUCACCAGGCCACUGUUAGCACAAUUGCUGUGAAUUAGAACUCUGUUCAUAUUGGCAAGUGAGCAAAACAAGGUUGUCCCCUGUCCACAUUGCUCUUUGCUGUUUCUCUGGAACCAUUAGCAGUUUCAUUACGUCUUAACUCAUGUAUCAAGGGUUAUCAGGGAAAGGCUGAAUAGCAUUUAUUAAACUUUUAUGCUGAUGACAUGAUGUAUAUGUUACCUAACCCUCAGGAGGCCCUACCAAUAUUCAAAUUAAGAAUUAGGAAAAUUAAAAAAUUAAUACUGGGUCUUAGAACUAAUCUUAAGAAGUUGCUAAUAACGUGUUAUAACAGGUCUGAUGGAAGAAAUCAAGCUUAAGCAAAUGACUCAAGCUAAGUUGUAUUAUCGUUGGAUCCAAUAAGAAAUGGGUUGAUGUGGAAGGUGAAAUGAUACCAGACACAAAAAUAUGGGUGCUUCCUUUUAUUAGACUCUCCAAAACAACUUUAGAUACAAUGCAUAACCCAUACACAUUGAAUAUGCUAUAGGUAUAGAAAAGAUGGCAACGCUGUCAGUCUCCUUUAUGCUUGCCUCUAAUGCCACAGUUUUCACUCUCAAGUCCAGGAUUCAGCCUUGCAUAAUACAAUCCUGUCAUGGGGGGGGGGCACCCAUUUACAUUCCGUAUUUCUAUGUUAAUGACAAACUAUUAUCCAAAGAACAACUUAAAAUAAAUAGAGGAGAUCCAGGCCUAUCCUGGUUACAAGAAAGAGGUAUUUACAGAAAUUGCGCAAAUUUUAAAGUCUGAAAUUCAGGCAACCCCACAACUUGCAUUAAAAAAUCUGUGGGUUAACAAUCUGAAACAGUUUUCUUCAAUAGGGUUAUUAACUUCGUGGCUGGCAGUUGCAAUACUACCUAUAGCACAAAAAUGGAAGACUUAACAUGAAUUGCCUCCUGCAUUAUGGUGCAAAAAUAUUUGGUCUCUUGCUGAAAAAGUUGACUUUCAACAUUUGGUGUAAUCAAAGGUAAAGAACCUGUGGAACAUGUGCAUGUGAUUUGGUUGGACUUUGGUCGAACAUAUGUCUUAUGUUCCAAUUGACAACUUACAAGACUACUUACCUGCACCUAAAAAAGAAAUAUGUAUUUCCUGAUUAGCAUAUAUGUAUAAAUUGAAUUAUGGUUGUACUUACCCAUUUUAUGUAUGCAUCUCUCCAACAACUUUCUGGGUUGGACUUAAUUGUUCUUCAUUCUUCUGUAAAGAAAAAGAAAAUGUUAGCUUUGUGAAAUGCAAUAAAAGAAGAAGAAGCAGGUAGAUGUUGCAUGGCUGAAGUUGGCUGAUUUUUGCAGAUGUAAGCCAGUGGAGGUUCUCCCCUGAAGCUGUGAUGGACUGGGUGUUUGCUGUUGCACAUUACUUUGCUGGUGUCACCUUGAAGCUUUAAAAGGGGAUUAAACAAAUUCAUGGUGUAUAUAGCUAUCAGUGGCUACUACUCACAGGAUCAAAGGUAUUAUGCCUUUGCAUUGGGGAACAGCGUUGAGAGGGUGG